This 115-nucleotide ribosomal RNA is filed under the name Zingiber officinale. The record is from RNAcentral. Lineage: Eukaryota; Viridiplantae; Streptophyta; Magnoliopsida; Zingiberales; Zingiberaceae.
GCGAUCAUACCUAGCACUAAUGCAUCGGAUCCCAUCAGAACUCCUAAGUUAAGCGUGCUUGGGCGAGAGCAGUACUAGGAUGGGUGACCCCUUGGGAAGUCCUCGUGUUGCACCU